Molecule: long non-coding RNA, 890 nt
Organism: Hemicordylus capensis (graceful crag lizard)
Lineage: Eukaryota; Metazoa; Chordata; Lepidosauria; Squamata; Cordylidae
Exons: 3
Source: RefSeq, a predicted model, not a curated record
UCGCAGAGGUGGUGGCGGGUCUGGCCCGCCCAUGGAGGCAAGGCCCAGGCGGGAGAAAAGAAAGUGUGGGGGCAGAAGUGGAAGUGGGGAGGAGAGGAGGCUGGGCCUGGAAGCGGAGACUGGGGGGAGCGCACAGAUGCUCUGUGCGGGGUUGGCUAGUUUUCAGAGAAGCUUCAAGUUCUGACACACUGAGAGAAGUCUGCAAAUCAAAGAGGAAGACCUGGUACACAGGCAGUCUUUUCAAAUAAACUUUUAUGUCUGGAUCAUGUCAGUGGCAGACGCCAUUGUGAAAAUAUCACUAGAUUUUAUAAGCUUUAAAGCCGAAGGUUGGCCUAACUUGCCUGGAUGCCAGUGAUGAGCUCUACACAAUGACUUCAGUCUCGGCUGUACAAUAAUAGAAUCAACUGUUUUUAACCCUAUUGCUGUUUGAUAAGCACCACGAAGCAAGGGCACUGAUAUGGCCAUACUUACAACAGCUGCUGAUGAAUGAGAGCAGUUUAGAUUAGUUGUCAAGAAAUACAGAGUGGGCUCUGUUAUCUCUAUGCUGAAAACACGACUAUAAUGAUGUACAAGCACUGGCAACUACUAUUUAUAUCACGGAACUAUGAAUUUACUCUGAUGUUUCUCGAGGGACCUAAUUUAAAACAGCAUUGUUGGUGAAACUCAGGUCAACAGGAAAGAAGUAACUAUGAGAGAAAUAUGGUCUGACAGCAGAAAUAUCAUUGAGCAUGCUACGAAGGGCUUUAUGUAAAAAGACUUUUGGGGAAUGUCAUGGAAAAUGAUAUAUCAUUUCCCCAUCUAAUCCACCACAAUGAUUAUUAAUUGAUAUUUUUCUUCAAAUGUUAAAAGGAAAGUCUUAUUGUUAGAUAAAAGGGAUAUGCUCAACCGAA